GACGAACGCUGGCGGCGUGCUUAACACAUGCAAGUCGAACGGAAAGGCUCUGCUUUUGUGGGGUGCUCGAGUGGCGAACGGGUGAGUAACACGUGAGUAACCUGCCCUUGACUUUGGGAUAACUUCAGGAAACUGGGGCUAAUCACGGAUAGGAGCUCCUGCUGCAUGGUGGGGGUUGGAAAGUUUCGGCGGAUGGGGAUGGACUCGCGGCUUAUCAGCUUGUUGGUGGGGUAGUGGCUUACCAAGGCUUUGACGGGUAGCCGGCCUGAGAGGGUGACCGGCCACAUUGGGACUGGGAUACGGCCCAGACUCCUACGGGAGGCAGCAGUGGGAAAUAUUGCACAAUGGGCGGAAGCCUGAUGCAGCAACGCCGCGUGCGGGAUGACGGCCGUCGGGUUGUAAACCGCUUGCGCCUGUGACGAAGCGUGAGUGACGGUAAUGGGUAAAGAAGCACCGGCUAACUACGUG
Molecule: ribosomal RNA, 468 nt
Filed under: uncultured bacterium
Lineage: Bacteria
Description: partial 16S ribosomal RNA
Rfam family: Bacterial small subunit ribosomal RNA
Source: RNAcentral